RNAcentral lists this ribosomal RNA (292 nucleotides) under uncultured bacterium. Its description in RNAcentral is "partial 16S ribosomal RNA". It matches the Rfam family "Bacterial small subunit ribosomal RNA", at positions 505 to 796 of the family's 1533-position model. The record is from RNAcentral.
GUGUCAGCAGCCGCGGUAAUACAGAGGUGGCGAGCGUUGUUCGGAUUUACUGGGCGUAAAGGGCGCGUAGGCGGCGAUGUGUGUCGGGUGUGAAAUCCCAGGGCCCAACCCUGGAAGUGCGCCCGAAACUGCAUCGCUUGAGUGCGGGAGGGGAGAUCGGAAUGCAGGGUGUAGCGGUGAAAUGCGUUGAUAUCCUGCAGAACACCGGUGGCGAAGGCGGAUCUCUGGAACGCAACUGACGCUGAGGCGCGAAAGUCGGGGGAGCAAACAGGAUUAGAAACCCCAGUAGUCC